AUUUAUGUAGUUUAAAAAAAACAUUACACUUUCACUGUAAAAAUAAAAAAUAUUUCAUAAAUU
RNAcentral lists this transfer RNA (63 nucleotides) under Ellipsidion sp. BLA050. RNAcentral's name for it is "tRNA-Glu". Lineage: Eukaryota; Metazoa; Arthropoda; Insecta; Blattodea; Pseudophyllodromiidae. The record is from RNAcentral.